AAACCGGAGCGUUUGAAAAUUGCGGGUGGGGCAACACGGAUGUCAAGAGACUAUACUAUACUGACUUCGCCUUUCCGCUCUGGUUUCCGAGAUGAUCACAAAUAUCGACGAACUUAUUUACAGCCAUAAGAGGCUUUGAAAUAGUCUUCACUAACAACUCUUUGGGUGAAAACCGGAACGUAAAAUUAAUGCAUGUGUGAAGCAGCUAGUGAAGAUGUGUCUUCCUGGUAUCUUCAUUGUUACCCUGUUGACCCUCUCAAUUCCUGCUGUCCAUGUUGGGAAAGUCCUGGUGUUUCCUCAAGACGGCAGCCACUGGAUCAACAUGAAGGUCAUUAUUGAAGCGCUGCAUUCAAGAGGUCACAGUGUGUCAGUAGUACGGCCAUCAGACAGCUGGUACAUCAAGGAAACCUCCCCUCACUACAGUUCAAUCACAAUUGAUAUUCCAGGUGGAGCUGAUGAGCAAUUCUUUAGCUCAUUUGUGUCAAGACAAAUACAGAUACAGAGAGAGGGAAAGUCUGCUUGGACUCGUUUUAGUUUGGACAUGGAGUUGAAGGACAGAUUUUCUGAAAUGCACCGCAAAGUGUGUGAGAUGGUAAUCCAAAUGUUAGAGAAUGAACCGUUGAUGCAGUCUAUUAGAGAAACCAAGUAUGACUUGGUUCUGACAGACCCAGCCAAUGGGGGAGGUGUUGUGCUGGCACACUAUUUAAAUGUGCCCCUUGUUUUCAAUGUUCGAUGGACUAUACAUGGUGAGGCUCAUUUUGCUAUUGCUCCCUCUCCACUAUCGUAUGUUCCAUUUCCUGUUGCAGAGUUAACAGACAAUAUGAGUUUUUUUCAGAGGGUCCGUAACUUCCUAGUUUAUGUCAUCAGGCAGCAUCUGUACAAACAGACAGUGGGGCCUCAUUAUUCCGCUUUGGUUAGUCGUUACUUUAGUCCUGAGGUCGACUACUUCUCAUUGUUUCAAGCUGCUGAUUUAUGGCUCAUGAGAGUUGACUUUGUGUUUGAGUUCCCUCGUCCCACCAUGCCUAAUGUUAUCUAUAUGGGAGGGUUCCAAUGUAAACCUGCCAAGCCUCUUCCCCAAGAACUGGAGGAGUUUGCUCAGAGUUCUGGAGAGCAUGGAAUCAUUAUCAUGUCUUUGGGGACUUUAAUUGGACAACUUCCACAUGAUAUAACUGAUGAGAUAGCUGCUGCUUUUUCCCAACUGCCUCAGAAGGUAAUCUGGAGGUACAAAGGAGACAGGCCAGCUACUCUGGGUAACAACACCUUACUAGUUGACUGGAUGCCUCAGAAUGAUCUUUUAGGACACCCUAAGACAAGGCUGUUUGUAGCUCAUGGAGGAACAAAUGGGAUUUUUGAGGCUAUCUACCACAGUGUUCCAAUAGUAGGCCUUCCUCUGGUGUUCGACCAACCUGACAAUCUUUCUAGAAUGAAAGUGAAGGGUGUAGCAAAGGUUGUGGAUUUAGCAACUCUAGAUAGAAACAUUUUCACCCGAGCCUUACAGGAAGUUCUGAAUGAGCCGUCCUACAGGAUGAACAUGCAGAGACUCUCCAGGCUACACCGGGAUGUGCCAAUGGGACCCCUGGACACUGCCCUCUUCUGGAUUGAGUUUGUCAUGAGACACAAAGGUGCUGCUCACCUGCGUACAGAGUCCUACAGAAUGCCCUGGUACUCCUACCACUCUGUAGAUGUAAUGGUGUUUCUACUGGCUGUUGUGUUAUUUACUCUGCUGGCUUUCAUUGGCAUUAUCAGAUGUUUCUGUUGCAGGGCAUGUUUGAAAAUAAAAAUGAAAGCGGAAUGAUUAUGGA
Oncorhynchus kisutch (coho salmon) is the source of this 1802-nucleotide RNA transcript. It is a transcript of the gene named UDP-glucuronosyltransferase 2C1 pseudogene, with no coding region annotated. NCBI's taxonomy places the organism in Eukaryota, Metazoa, Chordata, Actinopteri, Salmoniformes, Salmonidae. The record is from RefSeq and is a predicted model, not a curated record. The transcript has 2 exons.